Molecule: non-coding RNA, 108 nt
Organism: Periconia digitata
Lineage: Eukaryota; Fungi; Ascomycota; Dothideomycetes; Pleosporales; Periconiaceae
Source: the annotation of a GenBank genome assembly
GCCUUCAUGGUCUAGUUGGUCAUGACGUGGGUCUCAUAGUAUCAAAGCCUUGACUGUCAAGAUGACAGAGUUAUCCCGAGGUCGCCAGUUCGAUCCUGGCUGAGGGCA